Molecule: ribosomal RNA, 490 nt
Filed under: uncultured bacterium
Lineage: Bacteria
Description: partial 16S ribosomal RNA
Rfam family: Bacterial small subunit ribosomal RNA
Source: RNAcentral
AUUGAACGCUGGCGGCAGGCCUAACACAUGCAAGUCGAACGGUAACAGGAAGAAGCUUGCUUCUUUGCUGACGAGUGGCGGACGGGUGAGUAAUGUCUGGGAAACUGCCUGAUGGAGGGGGAUAACUACUGGAAACGGUAGCUAAUACCGCAUAACGUCGCAAGACCAAAGAGGGGGACCUUCGGGCCUCUUGCCAUCGGAUGUGCCCAGAUGGGAUUAGCUAGUAGGUGGGGUAACGGCUCACCUAGGCGACGAUCCCUAGCUGGUCUGAGAGGAUGACCAGCCACACUGGAACUGAGACACGGUCCAGACUCCUACGGGAGGCAACAGUGGGGAAUAUUGCACAAUGGGCGCAAGCCUGAUGCAGCCAUGCCGCGUGUAUGAAGAAGGCCUUCGGGUUGUAAAGUACUUUCAGCGGGGAGGAAGGGAGUAAAGUUAAUACCUUUACUCAUUGACGUUACCCGCAGAAGAAGCACCGGCUAACUCCGUG